Arvicola amphibius (Eurasian water vole) is the source of this 579-nucleotide long non-coding RNA. RefSeq lists it as uncharacterized. The record is from RefSeq and is a predicted model, not a curated record. The transcript has 2 exons. Lineage: Eukaryota; Metazoa; Chordata; Mammalia; Rodentia; Cricetidae.
AGUAAAGGCCAUUUUACGCACUAGAAGUACCAUGUUAGAAUCCCACGUGCUGUGGACAGUUUGAGAGGUGCACAGCAACAUAGGAGUCUCCAAGGAGUAGCAUAGACUAGACCUUAAGUGAAGUAUUAAGGUCGAUAGGAUGCUGGAAACAAGGAGAAGCCAACGAGCCGACUUAAGGAGCGUCAUGACCUUAUCAGAUUUGUGUCUUAGAAAAAUCCUCCGACUUCAGUACAAAGAAUAAAACUGCAUGCUGUCGUUGGAUCGCCUGGGAAGGAACCACUAUGGCGUUCACAAAGAAGAACAGGACUCGAACUAAGGUGGAUGAAGAACGUGUGAGUUCUCAAUAAUGAAGGAGGCGCACGAAAGCAAACCAAGAAAUCACAGAGUGCUCAACCUGCAAAGGCUAUGGCAUUGCGAGGACAGGAGUUUUAACCAAUCAGAACGGACGAAAGACAACAUUUCUGAUCAGCCAAGCAGACCUAAAGCAUGUUGGAAACUUAGAAAAACUUGCUGCAUUAUUUUAAUGAAAGAUUUUAUCGAACUUUUACUUGAUUCCAAUAAAAUAAGGAUAAUCAUAAA